Molecule: transfer RNA, 71 nt
Filed under: Marmota monax (woodchuck)
Lineage: Eukaryota; Metazoa; Chordata; Mammalia; Rodentia; Sciuridae
Description: tRNA.Thr
Rfam family: tRNA
About the family: Transfer RNA (tRNA) molecules are approximately 80 nucleotides in length. Their secondary structure includes four short double-helical elements and three loops (D, anti-codon, and T loops). Further hydrogen bonds mediate the characteristic L-shaped molecular structure. tRNAs have two regions of fundamental functional importance: the anti-codon, which is responsible for specific mRNA codon recognition, and the 3' end, to which the tRNAs corresponding amino acid is attached (by aminoacyl-tRNA synthetases). tRNAs cope with the degeneracy of the genetic code in two manners: having more than one tRNA (with a specific anti-codon) for a particular amino acid; and 'wobble' base-pairing, i.e. permitting non-standard base-pairing at the 3rd anti-codon position.
Source: RNAcentral
GGGAUAUAGCUCAGUGGUAGAGUGCUUGCCUAGUAUGCAUGAAGUCCUGGGUUCAAUCCUCAGUACCACCA